CACAAAGGUUUGGUCCUGACCUUAGAAUCAAUUUUUACUUAAUUUACACAUGCAAGUCUCCGCACCCCUGUGAAAACGCCCUUAAAUUCCCCCUAGCGGGACAAGGAGCUGGUAUCAGGCACAAACAUUAGCCCAAGACACCUAGCUUUGCCACACCCACACGGGAACUCAGCAGUGAUUAACAUUGAAUAUAAGCGACAGCUUGACUCAGUUAAAGUAAGAAGAGCCGGCUAAUCUGGUGCCAGCCGCCGCGGUUACACCACGUGGCUCAAAUUGAUUCUUCUCGGCGUAAAGCGUGAUUUAAGGAACAUCCUUUUGGUGUUAAACAAGCACUAAGCCGUGACACGCUUGUGCUUAAGAAAAUCAAAAACGAAAGUUACACCAACUCAACCAACUUGAACUCACGACAGCUAGGAAACAAACUGGGAUUAGAUACCCCACUAUGCCUAGCCGUAAACUUUAACUUACAACUUGAUCGCCUGGGAACUACGAGCCAAGCUUAAAACCCAAAGGACUUGACGGUACCCYAWAUCCACCUAGAGGAGCCUGUCCUAUAAUCGAUAACCCCCGUUCAACCUCACCACUUCUUGUCUUUCAGCCUGUAUACCUCCGUCGCCAGCUUACCGCAUGAGCGCUAUUAAGUGAGCUUAAUGACAAUACGCCAACACGUCAGGUCAAGGUGCAGCUAAUGAAGUGGGAAGAGAUGGGCUACACUUUCUACCGUAGAAAAAACGAAAAACUAUUUAUGAAAUCUAGUCGGAAGGAGGAUUUAGUAGUAAAAAGAAACCAGAGUGUUCUUUUUAAUCUGGCACUGGGGUGUGUACACAGCGCCCGUCACCCUCCUAUA
RNAcentral lists this non-coding RNA (847 nucleotides) under Leptodactylus bufonius (Vizcacheras' white-lipped frog). RNAcentral's name for it is "partial small subunit ribosomal RNA". It matches the Rfam family "Bacterial small subunit ribosomal RNA". Lineage: Eukaryota; Metazoa; Chordata; Amphibia; Anura; Leptodactylidae. The record is from RNAcentral.